Streptococcus sp. DD10 is the source of this 126-nucleotide regulatory RNA element. It matches the Rfam family "Ribosomal protein L20 leader". From Rfam's summary of the family: This family is a putative r-protein leader autoregulatory structure found in B. subtilis and other low-GC Gram-positive bacteria. It is located in the 5' untranslated regions of mRNAs encoding initiation factor 3 followed by ribosomal proteins L35 and L20 (infC-rpmI-rplT). A Rho-independent transcription terminator structure that is probably involved in regulation is included at the 3' end. The record is from Rfam. Lineage: Bacteria; Bacillati; Bacillota; Bacilli; Lactobacillales; Streptococcaceae.
UGAGAAAAGCAGAAGUGAGAGCUUCUCGCCUUGCGACUCGCGUUGCCUGGCCCUACGGAUGAAAGUUUCGAUGAAACCAUCAUAGCGUGCGGGCUUGUGUAAACAGGUCCGCUCUUGUUUUUCUCU